RNAcentral lists this non-coding RNA (506 nucleotides) under uncultured Glomeromycotina. RNAcentral describes it as "SSU rRNA". It matches the Rfam family "Eukaryotic small subunit ribosomal RNA", at positions 591 to 1092 of the family's 1831-position model. The record is from RNAcentral. Lineage: Eukaryota; Fungi; Glomeromycota. RNAcentral also lists the same sequence under 1 other name.
CCAAUAGCGUAUAUUAAAGUUGUUGCAGUUAAAAAGCUCGUAGUUGAAUUUCGGGAUUGACGUGAUGGUCGUGCCUUAAGGGGUAUGAACUGUUGCUGUUGAUUUCUCACCUUCUGGAGAAACUUGAUGUCCUUAAUUGGGUGUCUUGCGGAUCCAGGACCUUUACCUUGAAAAAAUUAGAGUGUUUAAAGCAGGCAUUUUGCUCGAAUACAUUAGCAUGGAAUAAUAGAAUAGGACGGCAUGGUUCUAUUUUGUUGGUUUCUAGGAUCACCGUAAUGAUUAAUAGGGAUAGUUGGGGGCAUUAGUAUUCAAUUGUCAGAGGUGAAAUUCUUGGAUUUAUUGAAGACUAACUACUGCGAAAGCAUUUGCCAAGGAUGUUUUCAUUAAUCAAGAACGAAAGUUAGGGGAUCGAAGACGAUCAGAUACCGUCGUAGUCUUAACCAUAAACUAUGCCGACUAGGAAUCAGACGAUGUUAAUUUUUUAAUGACUCGUUUGGCACCUUACG